RNAcentral lists this ribosomal RNA (254 nucleotides) under uncultured prokaryote. RNAcentral describes it as "partial 16S ribosomal RNA". It matches the Rfam family "Bacterial small subunit ribosomal RNA", at positions 525 to 777 of the family's 1533-position model. The record is from RNAcentral.
ACGAGGGGGGCAAGCGUUGUUCGGAAUUAUUGGGCGUAAAGGGCGCGUAGGCGGCAAUUCAAGUCAUCUGUGAAAUCUCCGGGCUUAACUCGGAACGGUCAGAUGAUACUGCUUUGCUAGAGUGCGGAAGGGGCAAUCGGAAUUCUUGGUGUAGCGGUGAAAUGCGUAGAUAUCAAGAGGAACACCUGAGGUGAAGACGGGUUGCUGGGCCGACACUGACGCUGACAGCGCGAAAGCCAGGGGAGCAAACGGGA